UCUUCGCUACCCGACGAUUCCUCCUCCGCCAACCCCGACCACGGUAGCGACAGCUCCUUUUCCCACCCUGUCACAAGCCGCCCGACAAUCUGUUACUCCGCGCUCGCCCGCGCGCCCGCAGCCGCCUGUCUUCUCACCUGUGCGCCCUCGUUCCUAGCGCCGUUAUCCCGGUCACUUCCAUCAGCUCCACCGCACGACGACGCCCGCCUCCGCCAAAUCUCAACCACCGGCAAACCCGCGCCUGCACCGCCC
This 252-nucleotide long non-coding RNA is filed under the name Setaria italica (foxtail millet). RNAcentral's name for it is "long non-coding RNA (SITA_LNC002907)". The record is from RNAcentral. Lineage: Eukaryota; Viridiplantae; Streptophyta; Magnoliopsida; Poales; Poaceae.